AUUGAACGCUGGCGGCAUGCUUUACACAUGCAAGUCGAACGGUAACAGGCCGCAAGGUGCUGACGAGUGGCGAACGGGUGAGUAAUGCAUCGGAACGUGCCCAGUCGUGGGGGAUAACUACUCGAAAGAGUAGCUAAUACCGCAUACGAUCUAUGGAUGAAAGCGGGGGACCGUAAGGACUCGCGCGAUUGGAGCGGCCGAUGUCAGAUUAGGUAGUUGGUGGGGUAAAGGCUCACCAAGCCAACGAUCUGUAGCUGGUCUGAGAGGACGACCAGCCACACUGGGACUGAGACACGGCCCAGACUCCUACGGGAGGCAGCAGUGGGGAAUUUUGGACAAUGGGCGCAAGCCUGAUCCAGCAAUGCCGCGUGCAGGAAGAAGGCCUUCGGGUUGUAAACUGCUUUUGUACGGAACGAAACGGCUCUGGUUAAUACCCGGGGCUAAUGACGGUACCGUACGAAUAAGCACCGGCUAACUACGUG
This 482-nucleotide ribosomal RNA is filed under the name uncultured bacterium. Its description in RNAcentral is "partial 16S ribosomal RNA". It matches the Rfam family "Bacterial small subunit ribosomal RNA", at positions 30 to 507 of the family's 1533-position model. The record is from RNAcentral.